CCUACGGGCGGCAGCAGUGGGGAAUAUUGGACAAUGGGGUGAACCCUGAUCCAGCGACGCCGCGUGAGUGAAGAAGUAUUUCUGUAUUUAAAGCUCUAUCAGCAGGGAAGAAAAUCACGGUACAUGACUCAGAACCCCCGGCUAACUACGGGCCAGCAGCCGCGGUAAUACGUAGGGGGCAAGCGUUAUACGGAUUUACUGGGUCUAAAGGGAGCGUAGGCGGAUUUUUAAGUCAGCGGUAAAAUGUCCGGGCUCAACCCGGGUCGGCCGUUGAAACUGGGGAUCUUGAGUGGGCGAGAAGUAUGCGGAAUGCGUGGUGUAGCGGUGAAAUGCAUAGAUAUCACGCAGAACUCCGAUUGCGAAGGCAGCAUACCGGCGCCCGACUGACGCUGAGGCACGAAAGCGUGGGGAUCGAACAGGAUUAGAUACCCGAGUAGUC
Molecule: ribosomal RNA, 439 nt
Filed under: uncultured bacterium
Lineage: Bacteria
Description: partial 16S ribosomal RNA
Rfam family: Bacterial small subunit ribosomal RNA
Source: RNAcentral